RNAcentral lists this ribosomal RNA (253 nucleotides) under uncultured bacterium. Its description in RNAcentral is "partial 16S ribosomal RNA". It matches the Rfam family "Bacterial small subunit ribosomal RNA", at positions 524 to 776 of the family's 1533-position model. The record is from RNAcentral.
UACGUAGGGGGCGAGCGUUGUCCGGAAUUAUUGGGCGUAAAGGGCGCGUAGGCGGUUAGGCAAGUGGAAGGUGAAAUCCCUCGGCUUAACCGAGGAACUGCCCUCCAAACUGCUUGGCUUGAGACCGGGAGAGGUGAGUGGAAUUCCCAGUGUAGCGGUGAAAUGCGUAGAUAUUGGGAAGAACACCCGUGGCGAAGGCGGCUCUCUGGGACGGUACUGACGCUGAGACGCGAAAGCGUGGGGAGCGAACAGG